UCUGUGAAGGCUAUACAAUUAAUACAUUUCUUGUUGCUUUGACACAAAAUGCAUACAGUUAACACAAAUUUAAAAUGCUUGAACUUCUUUUAGACACAAGCUCCACCAAGACCAAAACAAUGGAUCUUUACUGCCAAAUUUACAAAUACUUUCACACUGUAUGUCAGAACAGAUAACAUCAUGUUCUAAACCUAACUUAUAUGCUAAAGU
Molecule: long non-coding RNA, 210 nt
Organism: Sander lucioperca (pikeperch)
Lineage: Eukaryota; Metazoa; Chordata; Actinopteri; Perciformes; Percidae
Exons: 4
Source: RefSeq, a predicted model, not a curated record